GCUACAGGCUUAACACAUGCAAGUCGAGGGGCAGCAUGAACUUAGCUUGCUAAGUUUGAUGGCGACCGGCGCACGGGUGAGUAACACGUAUCCAACCUGCCGAUGACUCGGGGAUAGCCUUUCGAAAGAAAGAUUAAUACCCGAUGGCAUAAUUCUUCCGCAUGGUAGAACUAUUAAAGAAUUUCGAUCAUCGAUGGGGAUGCGUUCCAUUAGGUUGUUGGCGGGGUAACGGCCCACCAAGCCUUCGAUGGAUAGGGGUUCUGAGAGGAAGGUCCCCCACAUUGGAACUGAGACACGGUCCAAACUCCUACGGGAGGCAGCAGUGAGGAAUAUUGGUCAAUGGACGAGAGUCUGAACCAGCCAAGUAGCGUGAAGGAUGACUGCCCUAUGGGUUGUAAACUUCUUUUAUACGGGAAUAAAGUGAGGCACGUGUGCCUUUUUGUAUGUACCGUAUGAAUAAGGAUCGGCUAACUCCGUGCCAGCAGCCGCGGUAAUACGGAGGAUCCGAGCGUUAUCCGGAUUUAUUGGGUUUAAAGGGAGCGUAGGCGGACGCUUAAGUCAGUUGUGAAAGUUUGCGGCUCAACCGUAAAAUUGCAGUUGAUACUGGGUGUCUUGAGUACAGUAGAGGCAGGCGGAAUUCGUGGUGUAGCGGUGAAAUGCUUAGAUAUCACGAAGAACUCCGAUUGCGAAGGCAGCUUGCUGGACUGUAACUGACGCUGAUGCUCGAAAGUGUGGGUAUCAAACAGGAUUAGAUACCCUGGUAGUCCACACAGUAAACGAUGAAUACUCGCUGUUUGCGAUAUACAGUAAGCGGCCAAGCGAAAGCGUUAAGUAUUCCACCUGGGGAGUACGCCGGCAACGGUGAAACUCAAAGGAAUUGACGGGGGCCCGCACAAGCGGAGGAACAUGUGGUUUAAUUCGAUGAUACGCGAGGAACCUUACCCGGGCUUGAAUUGCAACUGAAUGAUGUGGAGACAUGUCAGCCGCAAGGCAGUUGUGAAGGUGCUGCAUGGUUGUCGUCAGCUCGUGCCGUGAGGUGUCGGCUUAAGUGCCAUAACGAGCGCAACCCUUAACGAUAGUUACCAUCAGGUUAUGCUGGGGACUCUGUCGAGACUGCCGUCGUAAGAUGUGAGGAAGGUGGGGAUGA
This 1147-nucleotide ribosomal RNA is filed under the name uncultured bacterium. RNAcentral's name for it is "bacterial SSU rRNA". It matches the Rfam family "Bacterial small subunit ribosomal RNA", at positions 39 to 1182 of the family's 1533-position model. The record is from RNAcentral.